CUUUGAAUAUGGAGGUGUAACUUAAAUAUAAGUGAUCCUACAGAGAUUGCCAUUGUGGUAACAAGGAGUGGCUACCUUGAAAAAUGAGAAUGAAGUCUACAGGAGAAUGAGACACAGAAAUUAGAGAAGAAGAAGACGGGUGUUCCUUCUCAAGGGGAACUCUCCUCCAAGCGGUACUUCAGAGAUGUGGUUCCCUCCACUCUUGAGACUUAAAUCACUUUCAAGUCUUCUGCAGUGCUCUGGCUCCAAUGGAGAUUAAAAUCCAGUCUCUCUGUCUCCACCACGGAAUGUCUGCCUUUCUCAUUAACUGGACUUCCAUAUGUGGUACGGGAUGACCUAAGCUGUGGAGGGCAGCGAGCUGACCAGAACAAAGGUCAGAUUGUAAUCUCCAAGCAUCAAAUCUAUUUUUUGUCCACACUCUCAACAUCCACUUCCUACCACCAAAUAAAAGGUAGAAGAAAGAACAACAUAAAACUGUAACAACAAAAAGGUUGUGAUGUGAAAUAAAGCCCUGGAAAUGUCCAUCUGCUGUUAUCAACGCGUUUGGGACUAAAAUCUUUACCACUAAUUCCUGUUUGGCUGUGGUGGUGUGCAGGACAGCC
This is a non-coding RNA of Leptonychotes weddellii (Weddell seal), 602 nucleotides long. The record is from RefSeq and is a predicted model, not a curated record. Lineage: Eukaryota; Metazoa; Chordata; Mammalia; Carnivora; Phocidae.